RNAcentral lists this long non-coding RNA (549 nucleotides) under Monodelphis domestica (gray short-tailed opossum). Its description in RNAcentral is "lncRNA (ENSMODG00000039620.1)". Lineage: Eukaryota; Metazoa; Chordata; Mammalia; Didelphimorphia; Didelphidae. The record is from RNAcentral.
UUCUAGUGAUGUUUCUUCAAUUCUUCAAUUCUAAGGGAGAGAAGAGCUGACAAUAUGACCACGGUAGGCUGAUGGAGCAUUUCCAUCUUAUCAAAUUUAUCUUCAGUUCUCAGAGAGAUUAUCUGAUAAAAUACCCUGAAGGAAUGUCAUUCAAAAGAACAGAAAAGAAAAUGUUGCACAGAAAACAUUCCAGAGUUUUUGCUUAGUUCCAAUGUCAACAUCGGAACAAGAAGAACGGGCAUCCCCUACUUAAAUGAGAAGAGCCAACAUGAAGGGCUUGGAACUCACGACAGGAAAUCAGUUCUAAAGUGUUGAGAUAAACACACCAAUUUUCUUCCUUCCACAUGCUAUUUCCACAUAAACUUUAACUUCGAGUUAGACCUGUUUGACGGGAGAAGAAAAAGGAUGAAAUUACAAACAGUGGUGGCAGAUUAUCAACAUCAGCGGCAAUCCAAAAAACACUUGAGACGCAAAACAUUUUCUUUGGAUAUCUGACAUUUUUUAGUCAUCAUAAUCUUCUGAGUUUGUGCAAGGAAUAAUAAAUUCCCU